This 169-nucleotide unclassified non-coding RNA is filed under the name uncultured Phaeosphaeriaceae. RNAcentral's name for it is "sequence contains ITS2". The record is from RNAcentral. Lineage: Eukaryota; Fungi; Ascomycota; Dothideomycetes; Pleosporales; Phaeosphaeriaceae.
CAACCCUUAAGCCUAGCUUAGUGUUGGGAAUCUACUGAGCGGUGCUACCCUGUAGCUACCCUGUAGUUCCUAAAAUUCAGCGGCAGAGUUAUUGUAUCCUCUGAGCGUAGUAAUUAUUCUCGCUUUUGUUGGUGCUAUAUCUCUUGCCGUAAAACCCCCAAUUUUUAAU